RNAcentral lists this small RNA (765 nucleotides) under Spisula solidissima (Atlantic surf clam). RNAcentral's name for it is "cnRNA312". The record is from RNAcentral. Lineage: Eukaryota; Metazoa; Mollusca; Bivalvia; Venerida; Mactridae.
AUAUUUCACUGCUAACCUUUGAGUACAUACAUUGUUCUUAUACAUAUGUUCAUAGAUUUUGGUUUCAAUGUUGAGUUUGAAAUGACAAUGAAGUGUUUAUUUCCUUGCAAUUGCAGUACAGUAAUGUUAAAAAGGAUUUGUAUGCUUCAUAGAAGUACACAGCAGAUUUAUUUGUGUUGUUCAAUUAUUGAGUAAAGACAACAAAUACAACCAAUAAAAACUCCACACUUGAUAUCUUUUUUAUAAUAUUAUUUUACAUUGCAGAGAAUGUUCAUAAAAAUGCCACUGCAUGCAUAGGAAAAUCCAGUUAAAUUUCAGUGAAGUGCACAGAAAUAGAAUUCCUGUGGAGUUCCAGUGGAGCACUGGAAUUCCACUGGUAGUCCAGUGGAAUUCCAGAGGUGUGCUGGAAUUCCAGUGGAGUCCACUGGAUAUCCAGUGGAGUCCACUGGAAUUCCACUGUCAGUGGAAUACCAGUGGAAUACCAGUGGAAUAACUUCAAAAUCCGCUUUCCAGUGGAAUUCCACUGGAAACCAGUGGUAUUCCACUGAUUUUUUUCUAAGGGGGGGGUCUGCAUGACAUUGAUUUUUGACUGUGGCAGUUGUGAUUUUUACAGCACUUAAAAAGAGUGUUGUGAAAAAUUGACCACUGCUUGAAUAUGAAUUUUUUAGUCUCUCAAACCCCGCUCCUGUCUGAACUCUCUGCGACUGGACAUUUUCUUGAAGCCUAACAAACAAAAUUUAAGCUUAAGCAAUGUCCAGUCGCAGA